Long non-coding RNA from Vicia villosa (hairy vetch), 962 nucleotides. RefSeq lists it as uncharacterized. The record is from RefSeq and is a predicted model, not a curated record. Lineage: Eukaryota; Viridiplantae; Streptophyta; Magnoliopsida; Fabales; Fabaceae. The transcript is spliced from 3 exons.
CUUUGCUUCCUUUUGUUUUGUUCUUACGUGGCUAGCUUCUUUGCUUGCUAUUAUUUUUUUUUGAUACCUUUUCCAAUUUGACAAUAUUUUUUGUAUCUUCCUUGAAAACACAAAUAUAUGAUUUCCCUAAGUCUACCAUCUUUGUACUCAACCUCAAACAACUCUCUUUUUUUCUUCCACUUUCUCUCUUCACCCUUUUAUGUAGGUAGUUUUUUUUCCACUUUCUCUCUUCACCCUAUUAUCCUUCUUCGGCUGUUAUUUUCUUUCUUCCAUUUUCUUUCUUUUCACCAUUUGCUACGCCGAUGAGUGUGGUGGUGGUGGAAACGGGUUUCCGAUAAUGAGUAUGGUGGUGGUGGUGGAAACUGAUUUCCAGCGACGAUUGUGGUGGUGGUUGAAACGGGUUUCCGGCGACGAUUUUAUGUUUUAUUUUUAUUUUUAGAUCUGUAAAAAUACCGUGGACAAAAUUGUGUAUGUAUAUAAUAAUUUGAUGAAGUUUCAUGUUUUUAUGUUAUGAAGUUAAAGAUUGAUUUACAUUGUAUAUAUUUUUCAGUCAUAGGUUGAAAUGAUCCAAAGAGGUUUGAAGAUUGAGUAUUAAUAAAAUUUGAUUUAUAAAAGAUUGCAGAUGAGGUUUUAGAUCUGGAGCUAAUAACAGAUCAAAACUCAAAAGAAUCAUGGAAGAUUGUGAGGAUGAAUAUUAGCUGAAAUGAAUUAUAAAGAAGCAGAAGAGAAAUAUUUUUAGGUUGAUGCAAAUUAUUUAUUCUCCUCUUUGUGAAAUUGUUGGUUAAGAUUUAUGUAAUAAUAUAUGAAUUUUUGUUUGACUCAAAUUGAAGUUACAGAUUUUGUUUUAAAAAUUGGUAGUAUUUUUUUAGUUUGGGAAUAUGUAUGUUGUUUGACGCAUUAGUAGUUGUUUUUCAUGGCAACAAUGGCUUAAUAGGUAUCACCAUUCUUUUAUGAUCUAUAGC